UGCCAGCAGCCGCGGUAAUACGUAGGGGGCUAGCGUUAUCCGGAUUUACUGGGCGUAAAGGGUGCGUAGGCGGUCUUUCAAGUCAGGAGUUAAAGGCUACGGCUCAACCGUAGUAAGCUCCUGAUACUGUCUGACUUGAGUGCAGGAGAGGAAAGCGGAAUUCCCAGUGUAGCGGUGAAAUGCGUAGAUAUUGAGAGGAACACCAGUAGCGAAGGCGGCUUUCUGGACUGUAACUGACGCUGAGGCGAAAGCUAGGGUAGCAAAAGGGAUUAGAUG
This 276-nucleotide ribosomal RNA is filed under the name uncultured bacterium. Its description in RNAcentral is "partial 16S ribosomal RNA". It matches the Rfam family "Bacterial small subunit ribosomal RNA", at positions 506 to 784 of the family's 1533-position model. The record is from RNAcentral.